This 280-nucleotide ribosomal RNA is filed under the name uncultured bacterium. RNAcentral describes it as "partial 16S ribosomal RNA". It matches the Rfam family "Bacterial small subunit ribosomal RNA", at positions 524 to 796 of the family's 1533-position model. The record is from RNAcentral.
UACGGAGGGAUCGAACGUUAAUCGGAAUUACUGGGCGUAAAGCGCGCGUAGGCGGUUUGUUAAGUGGGAUGUGAAAGCCCCGGGCUUAACCUGGGAACUGCAUUCCAAACUGACAAACUAGAGUAUGGUAGAGGGUGGUAGAAUUUCCUGUGUAGCGGUGAAAUGCGUAGAUAUAGGAAGGAAUACCGAUGGCGAAGGCAGCCACCUGGACCAACACUGACGCUGAGGUGCGAAAAGCGUUAGGGGAGCAAAACCGAGGAUUACGAUACCCCGGUAGUCC